This 11676-nucleotide long non-coding RNA is filed under the name Lactuca sativa (garden lettuce). Its description in RNAcentral is "long non-coding RNA (LSAT_LNC008433)". Lineage: Eukaryota; Viridiplantae; Streptophyta; Magnoliopsida; Asterales; Asteraceae. The record is from RNAcentral.
UUAGCCGAACGGGUUUGACAGGACUAUAAUUCUCCCUUCAUUAAAAGUAUUAAUGAUAAAUACUAAGUAACUAAACAAUUAUAAAUACCCAAUCUUAGUUACUUAGGAAAAUGUGAAUAAGGUGCUAAUCCAUGAAAUUACACUUUGCACUUUGUUUAAGUCGGUUAGUGGAGCGUGUGUGGUUAACCGGCACACUAACUCGUAUUUAACAAGGUAGGUAAAGGGUAACUUAAUGUUUAUCUUAGUAUCGAUGGAGCGUGUGUGGUUAACCGGCACAUCGAUUGAGGGGUAAACACUUAAGGGUACCAAGUAAUUUGCAUGGUUACUUCACACCUUGUUUUGUGAUCCUCGGCAUCCCAUUCACAAAACCUGAAGGGCACACUCGAGAUUGAAACAUGCCAUUGAAAAGUUCAAUGAAUCUAAAAAUAUCUAGGAGUUUCAAAUCCAAUUAAACCAAAUAAUACAUUUAGUUUAUCUUGGUGGAAAUUGGUGAAUCGUCAUUCACCUACCUUCAAAUAUUGUAUAGCUUGGAUUACGACAUCCCUCUUCUAAGUUAUAAAAUAGUUUGUUGGGUCCUAGCAUUAGUAUCUCAUAUUGGGUGUCAUAUUAAGGACUUUAGAUCAACUAUCUUGAAUAUCUCCCAAAAGACGUCUAAUUCAUACAUUUAUGAUCUUCCUAAAUCUCUUGGAACUUAACUUCCUCCACCUCCUCCAAUUAUUCUCCCUAACCUGCAAGUUCAAGGUCACUCAAGCCCUAUUUUCAAGGCAAGGUCUGGGUGUGAUCACAUCUUGGAGAUGANUGUUAAGUAUUCACAAGCCGGGAGAGUUGGGUGUCAAAGUCUAGAGGAAGUGGAUGUUCAAUCACUUUCUAAGUCACAUAGUGAAUUCCUUCGGGACUCCUAUGAAAUAGACUAUGACAAGACCCUUAAUGAUCUUUACUAUUUUCUUGGUGCUGCUAAAUCAGAAAUGAUUUGGUGUACUAGUAAAGCAAAUUUUAUUAGGAGAUCAACUUCCCAAAACUUUAUGGACAGGGACAAUAGUGACACAGGAAAUCCAGAAAAGCAUUCUCUUCCCACUGGAAAGAGAUUGGCCAUAGUCAAUUUGGUUGACCAAAUGGUAAAGAGAAAGGCUAAGUUUGAAAUAGUCCCAUGUACUAUUACCUAAGGGUCCAUAUGUUUCUAUUUCCAAAGGAAGGGGCUUUGGUUACGAUGCUGCCAAACUAACCUAAGGAUGGUAAAGUCAAUAAGUUUGACUUUAUUUCAGGUAAAGUCCAUUGUCUAACUCUAUUAAGUUCCUACUUGGAGAUUCUUAUUACAUGAUGUGAUUGGGUCAAAGGUUGAUGUUUUAAGAAUCAAAGAAAAGUAAAGAAACUUAAAGGAAGUAUAUGCUGAUUCUGAUUGCGAAAAUGGAUUUCGAUCGCAUGGUUCUGUGAUCAGAAUUUUUGAGUUGCUGCUUAAGAGUUAUGAUAUAUUGCUUAGGUAUAGAUAACAACAAAGUAUUCAUAUGGAUUGUAAGGAUAAGGUUUUCUGCAAAGUUUUAAAAUAAAAGGAAAUUUUCAUUUAUUUUAAGUAUCCUUACAAUGGAAUUUGUGGAAAAAAUUUUGCUUAUAAGAUUUCAUUGAUAGCAAUAUUGAAUAUGGAUUUGAUUCUUUCAUCUGUGGUAGUGUCUAAUUUUACCAAAUAAGGAAAGAUUCUCAUCACCCAAGUUUAAAUUGGACCGAAACUUGGAAUCAUGCAAGUUGUAUAGUAUGAUGAAUGAGAAUUUUCAUCUUUGGAAAAUUAAGACUAAUUCAUUGUUCACAUGUAUAUAUUACUCAAGGGAAGGACAAAGGGAUCGGGUACCCUUGGGUGUGUGCUGGUCAGGUCCACCACAAAGAAUAUUCGUCAUUAUUUACUAAAUCUUAGUAAAUAUGGUUAAACUUACAAGUUUAAGUAUAAUUCUGAAAACAUUGAAAAUACUUCAAUGUAUGGCAAAGCGAAUGAGAAGAAUCAAAUUUGGCAGAAAGAUAAAAGUUUCUCAAGUCUGAAAAGAUGGGAGAGUACUUUAGUAUCAUGUUUAUGAUCAUCUUAAUGAUUAAGAUACCAUAUCACAAUUGAUCCUCUAAGGUCAUCUUAGUGCAUUUUUAUGACUAAGAAGAGGAGUCAUGAAUUGUUGAAAUGGUUAAAUCAAAAAGAUGAGUCAUACUUCGUUCCGAAACAAUUCUUAGAGUCAUACUCCAAGAUUGUAACUUGAGUGACAUAUCUUAAAGAAGGUUUAUUAACACUUGCCAAAUGUAAGAGUAAAAGGUUAUCUACUCUUGUACAUUUGAAAUUGGUAAGUUGUGAUAUUUUGGAUAAAACAGAGACCAACUUAGACCAAUUGUGUGAAGUGUUUGUGUUGAUAAAGAAUCCGCACUAUCUCUUGUAUAUUUGGCAAGUAAGUCUUAUAUGUCAAGAGGAUAGUGGGAGUCCUAAAGCUCUUGAAAGUUUCAAGACCUAAUCAAGAAUAAAACCUAGAAUUCUUCACUAGCACACGACUUGAGGUGUAUAACCUAUCGUGUUGACAUUUUUGUGCCUAUUCAAGUUGACUUUGCAUAGUAGUUCUUAGAGUUCUCAAUUGGUUGCACAACUACUUGGAAGCUAUGGCAGGCCCUUGUGCUGCCAGGUGGCAAGAACUUAAGAUUGCACAAGUUCAAUCCACAUGAGUUUGGAUUUGUCACUAACCUUGUCUUGUGAUUAUGGUUUUGACAAAUUCAUAUGGGUAGAAACUCAUACACCAUAAAAAUCUAAGUGUCAUAAGGUUUCUCUCCGAUUCAUGAAAACGAUGGUGAGGAAACACUUUCACUAAGUAGAUUUUUAAGUAGAUAGUAAUCUUUUCAUUCUCAAAGUCGUUAGUAGAGCACACUAACAUGGACUUAUGAGAAAUAGCAAAGGUCUAACCAAUUGAGACUAUGAUUACGACAUCCCUUUACAUAGUUCUUAAAUUGUUUAGCACACUAGUGAGCUAUUUACAAUAAGGUGUAUGAUUUUGAUAAAGUCUUAUCAAAGCAAUCUAGUAUCAGAAAUUUGAACUUUGGUAAGAAAGUCAAUAACGUAUUGAUUUCUAGAAGUCCACUAAUUUUUGAAUAUAUGUCAAAGCUAGUGGGAGCAUAAGUAUUAUGCUGAUAAUCAUCAUGUUAGUAGGAGCAUGAUAAUUAUGAUAAGUAUUGCAAGCUAGAAAUGUUAAUUAUAGAAAACAAAAGUUCAACUCGUGGGGUUGCAAGGGUUUAAAAAGUUGUUUUGGUAUAAUGAAGGGAGAGGAAAUUAUACUUCAUUUCAAUUCUAAAAGGCUUAGAUUGAUAUUUAAAUCGUUUUAGUCAAGAAUAUAUAUAUAAAUUUCAUGUUGGAUUGGUUCAACUUAAGGAAAUUCUAUAUAUUGUGUUCUCAAAAUUCGGUUAUGAUUACGGCAUCCCUCUUCAUAGUCAAAUUUUGAAAACAUGGCAAACAAAAAUUAUUGUAGCAAAAGACUGGUCUAGAAUUAUGUGUUUAUGUGAGACAUCAUGAAUCGUGUCCCGUUUGCUUUGGGUACAAGAUCGAUUGCAUGUGCUAUAAUAUUUAUCCUUUCUAAAUUUUCCGAAUGCCUUGGGGCAUUAAGGGGAAAAAAGGUCUAGAAUUGGAUAUGACUAAAGUGAUUAAGCAAUUGUCGAGGACAAUGUAAGGUUUUACCAAAGAUUGGUUGCUCAAAGACAGUUGGAAGUAUAUUGUUAAUAUUGGAAGGACCAUAUUGACAUAUUAUGGAAAAGAAACAACUCUUGUUCAGAAGUAGGAGUCAAAAUAGGAAUAUGGAGUUGUCUCCAUAGGUGGAAGUUAUAUCUGUAAGAUAGAAAACUUAAUGCAAGAAGGAUAUUGAAAGCAAGGUGCUUUGAGACUUCGUCUCCAUGGAAUUGAACUCCAUUGGAAUAAUCUGUAAUGACUGAUGAAAAGUCUUUGUGAAUUUGUACAUAUUCAUUACAAGAGGGUCUGUGCAUAUAAGUUUAAAAUCUAAAUAGAUUUUGGUAAAUGUUAGGAAUUUGGAAUUCUUACAUUUUUCGAUAAGGAUUUGGGAGUGUGAAAAGAGAAUCAUUGAAAGUACGUUCAACCGAUCUAUUUAACAAAGUAAGGAUCAUAGACAAACAAAGAGUGCAUACUUGAUGUAUUGCAAAGCUAUUGCUUAGAAAACAUAGUGUACAUGCUUGGAGCAUGGGACAACUAGUGUGUUCUAAAUUCAAGUAUAAAGUUGAUAAAACCGAAACAAUGAAUAAUGAGUAAUCAGUACGGUGAUAAAUAAAAAGUGUUUUAUUUAUAUUCAUAGUUUGAUACCAUAUUAGAUUCAUUUAUUCUUGUGUUUCAUUUUGCAUGUUUUGACUUCCAGAAUAAACUAGGUUAUUCUUCCUGAAUGACUAAGUUAUUCAAACCAUCCACAGUCGGUCAUAUGUUGGAAGUAGAUAUGAAUCAAGACUGUCAUGGGUUGGCUUGUAGAGGUCCAAGUUGGUGGACAAAGUUGUGCUACAACACUCAUGAGUGCUCAUAAGUUCUGAGUAUUGGAUUCAACCCGCGCUCAUUUGAAUCACUUCAUGGAUUUUAUCACGAGUGAUCAUGAGACGAUAAUAUCGUAUAUUCUUCAAACCUAGAGAUAUGAGUUAUUACUAUAAGUUGAUAGUACAUUGAUUUCACGAAAAACUCAUUGGUAAAUCGAUGUUAUAAAACGUGCCUUUGUGUAUGACUCAACAAGUAGUAGAACAAGCCAUAUGAGUCGAAGUUUAUCCAUUCCUUUUAACUUCAGGAUAAAAGCGAUAUCUGUGUGGCCCUUGAUGAUUUAGUGAUGACACAUGUGUGUGCUUGGCCAAGCCAGGACUGAUGUGAUUUGUUCAAUCAGUCAGUUGUCAUAAAUCGAAAAUCAAGAAACAACAAAUGAACAGAGAGAAUGAUUAUUAAUCCAUGUCUCAGUCCAUAUGAUAUCUAGAAUGGAGGAAUAUAUGAUCCCUUAUCUAAUGGAAAAGUCAUUGACAAGGUUAGAGUUUAGUUACAAGGUUAGAGUUCGACAGUGGCAUUUGAGAUCUAUGAUUGCUAGUUGGGUUUCGAAGUCAUACGCAAUAAUAGUUUUAGACUUAUCCAAGUGGGCGACUGUUGGAUUAAUGUCUAAGUCCAUAACUAUAUUUGGUAUGUACUUGACCCGACUAGGCAUGGUCCAUUUGGGUUGCAUGGCAUCAUGCACUUGGAAAGACUAAAUGAGAGAAAUAAGACACUUAUGGUUAUUAAUAUAUUAUAAUUUCUAAUAUAUUAAUAAUAAGAAUAAUAAUAUUUAAUUAGUAUUGAUCAAGAAUUAAUUUUUUGAUCAAAAGAANGUUACAUAACUCAUGGGUCAUGGAAAUGAAAGGUCAUGACAAUUAGGGUUUACAUGGUGUAACCCUAAUUGUAACAUAGUAUAUAAGCAUCAUAUUAUUCACCAAAAUCGGCCACUAGUGUGUGAAAAAGAAGUGCUAGCCGAUUUCUUGAAGUGUGGAUUUCUCUCUAAGUUAUUCCAAGAGAAUUUGAUGUUGUGUGAGCCAUUUGAGGUGUCACAUUUGAGGCACUAGGCACGCAAGCCCCAUGGAGUCAAGCUACACUACAAAAGUUAUGUAUUUUAUCUAUAUUAUUACCCAAGUAUCUAUGAUUGUAUGCUAGAUAGGGUAAUACCUUGGAAUAUUAGCAUUUGCAUGUAUAUUAGAGAAACCAUAGAUCCAAUGUAUAUAGGGUUGCAUGUACACCAUAGGAGUGUUAGAAUGCUCACAACACAAUAGUAAUAUCCAUUUCUUCCACAUCUUCUGGAUGAAUCUGAUCCAGAUCAGCAAACGACAAUUUUGGAGGAAGAUCUCCAGCUACAAGAGCAUUGUAGCAGUUAACAAGUCCUAUGGCAAGUGCAAGAUUUUCAUCACACUCCUUAGAACUUGAGGAAGAAGCCCCAUUAGAGGAAGAAGCAACUUGAGAAGCAGCAACUUGAGAAGCAGCAAAUGAUUGAUUCUGAGGAAGAGGCAUGGAUGAUGCAGCAGGAAGUGAAGUAGCUGAUGAAGUGGAAAAGCAUUGAGUAUGAGCUUGCUGAGCAGUAAAAGGUUGACCUGUAGAGGGAAAGGUGAGAGAUGAAAGAGAAUUGUUAGAUGAAAUUCCAAGAUUUGUAGUUGAAUACGAAUUCACAUAAUUUAUCUCCCCCUGUUUAUCAUCAAUAUCACAAGCCUUGAUGAUCGCCAUCACUUCAGCAAGAGUAAGGCAAUUUAGGUCUUUGGUCUUCUUGAUGACAACUACAUUCAUGUCCCAUGACUUUGGAAUGGCAUUUAGUAGCUUGUUGUUUAUUUCAGACUCUGUCAAGAAGAUUCCAGCUAUGUUCAUCUCAGUGGUGAGAGUUGUGAAUCGUUGUGGUUGUGCCUCCAGGGUCUCACCAGGAAUGUAAUUGAACAUGUUGAAUUUUUGGCGCAGCACGUCCUGGCGACUCUCCUUCAUAUCUUCAUUCCCUUCAUAUACUUCAAUUAGGGCUUCCCACAAAGCCUUUGAUGAACUAUACUCCCUAAAACCUUGAGCUAUAUCCGGAGAUAGAGCCAUGGUCAGAGUGGCCAAAGCCCGUUCUUGUUCUUCACCCUUCUCAAAAUCUUCAUCAGUGUAAUUCUCAAUAGCUUUUUCAACUACUUGCCCUGCAACAGUUGUGGUUAUUCUGACGGGAUUCUUGAUGAUGCUUCUCCAAAUCUUGAAGUCCUUCAUUUUAAUGUACUUUUCUAUCUGGUAUUUCCACUCAGGAAAACCAUCCGCAGACAAGAGUCUUUGAAUGCGAGUAGUGGUGCCCAUGACAGAGUCCAACUCAUGGUGAUGUGGUUGACUUUGUGAAUCCAUUGAUUAUUAAUCUUAAAAACACAGAUUUUUUUUAUUUUAAAAAAAAAUUAGUUUCCGUUCAACACAAGAGUUUACGGUCAAAGGUGGGUUUGCGGCCGUAAACUCGGUUUAUGGUCGAGAGUUUGUGGUCCAAAUGAUUACGGUUUUUGAAUCUAAGCUUGCGGUUAUUGAAGAUACUUGAUUUACGAUCUAAGAACUGAGUUUACGGUCCAAGAAGGUUCUUGAGCUUGCGGCCGUAAACUGGGUUUGCUACCGUAAACUCUUGGCAGUAAACUCCUAGAAGUUCAAGAAAUCACGUUUUUGGAUUAAACUUGAUUCCCUUUCACAGUAAACACCAACUCCAAUCUCAAACAGUGAGGAAUAUGGCCAAAAACUUGAUUGUAAGAUGCUUUGACACUGGUUUUGUUCUGAUACCAAUAGUAAGGUUCGGAAACGGAUUUUACUAGUGAUCAAGCAAAGAAAACAAUUGAUUAUAAUGAGAAUGAAGUAGAAACAGAAUCAAGAACCAGUUUGCACAUGCUUCUAUUAACGAAAAACAUCUGGUACAACUUGUUUACAGCAACCGUGAACUCUAUGGUAUCAACAACCAUUAAAUUACCUACAUAACCUCUAUAUAUAGUGGACUUGGGCCGACUCUGGGUUUACGGCCGUUAACAGGCUUACAGCCGUAAACACAUAACAAGGCCGUAAACUACUAACCAAACUACCAAAACUGCAUACAGACCCAAAAGAACCUAUUACAACGAAAGCCAAGACCAAACCAUUAAUUAGACCCUUCAGAGUGCCGUUGUUACAGAUUCCUUCAUCGCUCGACUCUUGAAUCUCUUUAAGAUCGAUUUGCCUCCCACUGUCUCCUUGGCUUAUGAGUUCUCUUUCUCGGAAAACCCCUCUCCUCGCAACGAAGAAAACAUUGCCACUCGGUCUAUAGAAGAGAUAUCCAUAGGAAUUAUGUGGAUAGCCAAUGAAAAUACACCUCUCACUACAAGGUUCGAGCUUAUCGUGAGUCUCUCGUAUUACAAAAGCUUCGCAACCCUAAACCUUGAUAUGUGCCAACGAGGAAGCUUUCCCUGUCCACAUCUCAUGAGGUGUUUUGGCAACCUUCUUUAUAGGGACUAAGUUAAGGAUAUGGGUGGCAGUGUCUAAGGCAUACCCUCAUAAUGAGAUAGGUAGCGAAGCACGACUCAUCAUGGAACGAACCAUGUCUAGCAAGGUUCGAUUACGCCUCUCAGCUACACCAUUCAACGGCAGUGUCCAAGGUGGCGUUAAUUACGAAAAGAUUCUGCAUUCCUUAAGGUAGUCAUGGAAUUCAAGACUAAGGUACUCUCCACCUCGAUCGGAUCGAAGCAUCUUGAUUUUCCUGCCCAGCUGAUUCUCUACUUCCUGCUUAAACUCUUUGAACUUUUCAAAGGUUUCUGACUUGUGUUUGAUUAAGUAGAUAUACCCAUAUCUGCUAUAAUCAUUGGAUAAAGUCACAUAGAAGCGGCUUACAUCUCUUGUGGUGGAUCUAAAGGGCCUAUAGACAUCGGUGUGUAUGAGAUCCAAUAAACCCUCACCCCUUUCACACGUACCAGUGAAAGGUGACUUGGUCAUCUUUCCAAGUAAACAAGACUCGCACACAUCAUCGUCCCUAAGGUCCAAUGACUCCAACACUCCAUCCUUUUGGAGUUGGGUUAUGUGUUUCUUGUUGACAUGUCCAAGACCACAAUGCCACAAGCAUGCUUUGUCCAAACUAUUGGAAGAUUCAAUAUGCAACACAUCAUUUCCUAAGUUAUCUACAACCAUCACAGUUUCAUAUAUUCUAUUACAAGGCAAUGCUUCAAAAUAGAAAACACCAUUAAGGUAAGCAUUAAUAGAACCCUUUUCGUUAUAAAAUGAAUAUCCAAAUCCUUGUCUAUAUAAACCAUGAAAAGAAAUGAUGUUUCUUGCCAUUUCUGGCGAAUAGAAACAGUUAUUCAAAUCAAGUCCGAAUCCAUUACUAAGCACUAAAUAGUAAACUCCAAUCUUGGUGACAGGCGGCGCUCUUCUGUUCCCCAUGAUCAAGUUUAUCUUCCCAUGCUCCACAUCCCUAUUUCUUCUUAGGCCCUGCAAAUUAAAACAAAUCUGAAAACCACAUCCUGUAUCAAGUACCCAAGAAAUAGCAUGUGAUGAAUCAUUAGAUUGAAUAGUGUAAAUACAUGCGAAGGACGGCUUGAUCUUCCCAUCCUUGAUAUCUUGCAGAUACUUCGGGCAGCUUUGUUUCCAAUGCCCUAUGUCGUGGCAGUGAUAACACUCUGCAUCCACUGGGUUUGAGGUAGGUGUAGCAGGACCAGCCUUGGUUCCACUAGAAGAGGUGUCUGUUGGAUUAAUGUCUAAGUCCAUAACUAUAUUUGGUAUGUACUUGACCCGACCCGGCAUGGUCCAUUUGGGUUGCACUUCACCCACACAAUUUAUAUGGAUAAUCUUUUGAGAAUAGUAUGUUUAUGAUUAAUAUUAAUAUAUUAUAAGUUCUAAUAUAUUAAUAUGGAAUCAUAUUAUUUAAUUAGUAUUGAUCAAGAAUUAAUUUAUAAUUAAUUAAGUGAUCAAAAGGAACUAAUUAAAUAUGGACUCUUAUAUAUAUGGAAUGGGCCAAGUUCAUUUAGGUUGGGCUAAGCUUUCAUGGAUAGUCCAUGGAGUGUUUAACCCAUGGAUCCUAGGAAAUGAAAGGUCAUGGGUAUUAGGGUUUAACCCUAAUCCUCCAUACUAUAUAAAGAUGUCUUUGGUUGGUGAAAUUGGCACUAGUGGUGAUACACUAAGAGGGCUAGCCGAUUUCACUAAGAGAGAACCAAGUAUUCAUAUUCUCUAAAGUCUUCCAAGGUGUCUUGGUGAUUUGUGAUUCCACUUGAGGCUUCCACACUAUUGGGGCUAAGCUCUUAAAGCUUGAAGACAUCAAGCUACAUCAAAAGGUAUGUCUUCUAACUAGUACUUUGUAGAUUAAGAACAUCAUAAUAUGCUAGUUAGGAUUAAAGCCUUGGAAAGUUCUUAUUUGCAUGUAUAAUAGAGAAAACAUAGAUCCAAGGUUUAUAGGGUUGCAUGUACACCAUAGGAGUGUUAGAAUGCUCAAAACCCAACAGUGGUAUCAGAGCCACGGGUUGUUUUCUGUUAUAUUGAUGCAAAUAUUUUAUUUUCAAAGUUGAAAAAAAAAAAAAAAAAAAACAUGAAGUUUGUCAAAUUUUAAGAUAAUUACUUGUUCUUGUGAAAAACUAAUUAUUUGUAAAAUUUGAAUAAUUUGCUUUAUGAGUUGAAUUAGGUCAAAUUUAAUAAAAGAUAAAAUAAUAUGAUUAUUUUAUUAGUUUUAAAAGUUUGAUCUAAAGAGUUUUAUUUUUUGAAACCUCCAUAAGUUAUGGAUAUGAAAAGGUUUUAAAAAAAAAAUUGAUUCAAAGUUUUUUUGGAGUUACAAAAUUUGGUGUUAAUGUUUUAAAGGAUUCCAUAACUUAAGAAUAAGUUAUGGAUCACCAAAAGUUUUUUGUGUUACCUUGUUUUAUGAGUGAAUUUAGAUUAAUGAAUAAAAUUAUGUGAUAGUUGGUUUUAAUCCAAAUUAAUCUAAGAAUUGAUUCUAAAAUGUGUUUUUGUAACUUGUCCUCAAGUUAUAUGAAAAGUCACAUUUAAGAAUCAUAAAACUCAUAAAAAUUGGCAAAGGUUACAAAAAUGAAGAGUCUAGUUCUAAUUAAAUGGUUUUAUGACUCCAUAACUUGUCCUCAAGUUAUGGAGGACCAAGAGUCUCUUCAUUUAAUAAAAUAAAAUAAAAAAAAAAAAAGUGUAACCUUAAUUAAUUCCAUAAGUUAUAAAAUAAAGAAAAGUUAAUUCUUUUAUUAGUUUAAAGUCUUCCAUAACUUGUCCUCAAGUUAUGGAACUUGAAGAGUUUUUGGAUUAAAACUACUUUAAACACAUAAGUUAUGGAAUUAAUUAGUUUUGAAUAGUUUCAAAACUUGCCCUCAAGUUUUGGAAUUUGUAAAGUUUUCACUUAUGAAUACUUUAAUUCCAAGUUAGCCCUUAGAAUUUUAAAAGUUAAAAUUCAACCCUUAUACUUUAUAAUAUUAUAAGUUAAUAAUAUAUAUAUGUAUAAGAGUAAAGUCAGUCUUACCGCUAGUACGCCUCAUUCACGAAGCCGGUCUAUAAGGUGGGUAUAAGGUUGUUGCCUAUAAAAUGGCAACUUAAUGGGUGUCCACUCUCACCCACCGCUUGCUUGACUGGUGGAGGGUCGUUAGCCGAACGGGUUUGACAGGACUAGAAUUCUCCCUUCAUUAAAAGUAUUAAUGAUAAUACUAAGUAACUAAACUCUUAAUAAUACCCAAUCUUAGUUACUUAGGAAAAAUGUGAAUAAGGUGCUAAUCCAUGAAAUUACACUUUACACUUUGUCUAAGUCGUUAGUGGAGCGUGUGUGGUUAACCGGCACACUAACUUGGACUUAACAAGGUAGGUAAAGGGUGACUUAAUAUUUAUCAUAGUAUCGAUGGAGCGUGUGUGGUUAACCGGCACAUCGAUUGAGGGGUAAUUUAUUAAGGGUACCAAGUGAUUUGCAUGGUUACUUCACACCUUGUUUUGUGAUCCUCGGCAUCCCAGUCACAAAACCUGAAGGGCACACUCGAGAUUGAAACAUGCCUUUGAAAAGUUCAAUGAAUCUCAAAGAUCUAGGAGUUUCAAAACCAAUUAAAACCUAAUAAUACAUUUCGUUUAUCUUGGUGGAAAUUGGUGAAUCGUCAUUCACCUACCUUCAAAUAUUUUAUAGCUUGGAUUACGGCAUACCUCUUCUAAGUUAUAAAAUAGUUUGUUGGGUCCUAGCCUUAAUAUUUCAUAUUGGGUGUCAU